Molecule: ribosomal RNA, 304 nt
Filed under: uncultured bacterium
Lineage: Bacteria
Description: bacterial SSU rRNA
Rfam family: Bacterial small subunit ribosomal RNA
Source: RNAcentral
AUUGAACGCUGGCGGCAUGGCUAAAACAUGCAAGUCGAACGCGAAAGCACUUCGGUGCAAGUAGAGUGGCGAAAGGGCGAGGAAUAAGUACCUAACGUGCCUUCAGGUAAGGGAUAGCUCAUGGAAACGUGUGGUAAUACCUUAUAAUCUCAUUAGUUCAUAUGGACUUUUGAGCAAAGGCUUGCUGCCUGAAGAUCGGGGUACUUCCUAUCAGCUUGUUGGUAAGGUAACGGCUUACCAAGGCUAAGACGGGUAGCGGGUGUGAGAGCAUGACCCGCCGCAUCGGGACUGAGACACUGCCCGG